CUAAAUGCGAAGUCUGACGGAGCACGCCGCGUUAAGUGAUGAAGGUUUUCGGAUCGUAAAGCUCUGUUGUUAGGGAAGAACAAGUACCGUUCGAAUAGGGCGGUACCUUGACGGUACCUAACCAGAAAGCCACGGCUAACUACGUGCCAGCAGCCGCGGU
This 160-nucleotide ribosomal RNA is filed under the name Bacillus subtilis. RNAcentral describes it as "partial 16S ribosomal RNA". It matches the Rfam family "Bacterial small subunit ribosomal RNA", at positions 371 to 521 of the family's 1533-position model. The record is from RNAcentral. Lineage: Bacteria; Bacillati; Bacillota; Bacilli; Caryophanales; Bacillaceae.